CAAGAAGAAAUAUGGCUCAGCAUGGCUUAGCACAUCUGUUGAUCAUCAGCAGUUUCUGUCAGAAAAACAGGCUGCUAUUUUUUUAACGAAGUGUUAACCCUUUUACCUUCUUUGAUGUUAAAACCAUUUGUAUCUACUUAUUAUAUAACAAAUUAAGCACAAUAACCAAAAGUUAAAGGUGUUACGAGUACACAUAGGUGUAAAUAUAACUCCCAAACCAAUGAGCUCAGGGAAUACCAAGCUUUAAGUCUUGAGAUGGUGAAGUAUGAAAGUUCAGUUCAUACACAGAAUCAAUGACGAGAGAGAGAUAUUGGUAAUCGAAGGUGAAUGUCGGGAGAAGGCAAUUACGUUGAAUUCCAUAAACUCCACAGUGGUAAAACAGGAAAACAGUCGCCGUAGGUCUUAUCCGUCGUCGUUCUAAAUCCACAUACGAAUUAUCACUAAAAGUCGCUUAUCACAGGGGUACUAUCUGCAAAGGGAAUGACCACCCAGGCAAGGGUUGACACACAGGUAGAUUCCGCAAGGUACUCCCAAUCCAGACCCAACACACAAAGUAUUACUGACAGUGAUUUCCACAGAGUAUCCCUUCUCACAAGUGUUUACCACAUAACACACAUUGACAUUACAUACCUGUACAAAGGAAGGUAGGAAAUAGUUGGAGUGAGACUGAAUGUGCCCUGAAGAUCCAGCUAUGCCUCUGUCAGACCCAGUUGCAAUCACUCCAGGUCUGGUAAUGUGCUUCCAGCAGCCCAGCCCUUUGAAACCACUCCCAUUCCCUCACAGUGGUUACUCUUGCAUCUUCUGAAGUCGCUUUUGGUCAGUUCUGAGUGGGGAGAGGGAAAGAGAGGGGAGUGUUUAUACUGACUGUCUUUCAAAAAAAGUAAUUGUUUGAACUUGCUGCAAACUCUCUACCCAUACCCUGUACUUUCUCAACUAAAUUAUUGACAUAGAUGACCAGUAGCAAUGGGUUUAACCCCAGGAAACGUCACUAACCACGGGACUCGAGUACAAGAGACUCUCAGGGUCGGUGAGUGGCAGAUUCAGCUGUGUGACUCUGUGAGGUUGGGUCCUGGGAUAUCAGUUUCUGAUCCAAGUAAAAUCGGUGGAAAUCAAGCAGAAUUUCAAGUUGCUGGAGAUCUGCACUAAAAUCUGAAAAUGUUUGAAGUCAUUCUGAUGAAACGUUAUUAACCUGAAUUGUAGAUCCCACAGCUGUUCCUUACCCGCUGAGUGUUUCUGGUAAUUCCAGUUUCUUUUUAUUACAUUCACCCAGGACUGAUUUGUACUUCCUGAAAUGGACCUGAUUUAACCUGGAAAUGGAAAUGACUCGUCCUGUGAUAGGACAUCAGUAAAGAAAGCACAGCUUUUCCCUGUCAAUUAUCUGUUAGACCUGUGGUGAGAGAUUUAUUGGAAGAAAAACCGCAACUGGAAGCAAACCACGACUGAGGACGUGGGAACAGCAACAAGUGAACCAGCCCGAGGACUGAGAGCAUCAACUGGAGAGAACCCAUUUGACUCGAAGAUUCCAGUGAUUCAGUCAGGAGAAAGUUUGGGUGUGCCACUGAGGAAAGCCAAUAUUAUACAUCCCUCGAGGGACAGAAGUUCCCAGUCACGGUGAUUAGAGAGGUUAAAGGAAGAGACGGUAUUGCAUUACUGGCCGAAUUUCCGGAUUUCCUUUGGCGACAGACAGAACUGGUAGUUCCCCAUACCACCAUUAGGAUUUGCUCUGGGUUCAAGCCAAAGAGCCCAGGGUUCCUGGCCUACACCCUAACGAAACAAGCCUCCAGCACCGAAGGAGACUGGCAAGACUGGCUGUGGGUCUAGUCCAAUACGGGAAGGAGUCUGAGGUGAAGACGGGAUAUCUGGUAAGACAACCUUUUAAUAGUGACCAAUCCCAAGAUGCUGUACCCCAUCUCUGUGCAAUUUCAGGCCGAGAAGUCUGUUGCACCGACUGCCCCCCUGUCUGGAUCACCAUGAAAGAAGGACAGACUCUCCCAUCCAUUUAGCAAUAUCCCCUCAAUCCCGAGGCAAAGUUUUAUGAGAAUGGAAGCUCUUUUGUGGAUCCAGCAGGAUAACAAUAUUCUGACUAUGCAAUAGUGACGGACAGUGAAGUAACUGAACAGGCCUCUUUUGAAGCAGCUGUCUCUGCCCAGAAGGCUGAGCUGUUUGCUCUGACUCGUGCCUGUAUCCCAGCAACAGACUAAAGUGGGAACGUUUACACAGACUUCCGUUAUGCAUUUGGGAUUGUACAUGACUACGGGGCUCUCUGGGAACAUGGGGAUUCCUGACUUCCUCUGGCCACCCCAUUAGUAAUGCAACCUUUGUAAACAACUUACUCACCGUUCUACAGCUACCGUAAGUUUUGUUUUUCUCAGGGGGAUGCCUCUGAGGAGGAGUGAAAACUGUGGUCCCAUAUGGGGUGCCAGAAAGACCCCGGCCUAGGUUUUUGGUUCACCCCAGUGGGACAGGUUUGUGUUCCUACACAGUUUUUACCAAUAUUGGUCGAUUAUAUACAUAAUUGUACACACCUGGGAAAGGACGGAAUGGUUGGUAACCUGUGCCCUGCACACCAGGUACGAGUCCCUUGACAGGUGGACCUUUUCGUGUCUACAAGUUGAUUUGAUUGAAUUGCCUAGAGUACAUUGCUAUAGAUACUGCUGAGAUAUUAUAGAUAUGUUUAGUAGAUGGGUUGAAGCUGUUCCAACUACCAAUAAUACUGUUAUGACUGUUGUGAAGGUAUUAUUAUGGGAAAUAAUUCUCAGGUACGGCCUGGCAGAGAUGCUGAGCUCUGACAAUGACCCACACUUCGUGAUGAAAGUAAACAAAGGCAUACAUAACGAACUAGCUAUCCAGCAACAAUUCCACUGUGUACACCACCCACGGGCCGCUGGCAGAGUGGAGAGAGCCAAUGGCACUCUGAAGAGUAAAUUGGCCAGACUAACAGUGGAGACUGGACUCACCUGGUUGAAGGUCCUACCAUUACCCAGUUCCACAUGAGGGUUACCCCACAGGGGAAAACAGGGUUGUCACCAGCUGAAAUCAUUUAUGGAUGGCCCAUGAGGAGACCCUAGGGACUAAGACCUUGUGUACCAUUGCUCCCAGAAAGUCUACCAGCAAAAUUGGAUAUUCAUACCCGAGGGGAAGGCAUGGGGAAAUAUAUAUGCCAACUAACCAAAAUUUUCCAAGCAUACAUUCACAGGUAUGACAGGCAUACAAGGAAGAGAACUACUCUGCACCAUAGAACCUGGGAUUUUUUUUCCUGAUGAAGAACUGGGAUUAAGGGAAUCUUGGACCUCAGUGGAGAGGACCAUAUCAGGUGUUACCGACCACUCCCACAGCUGAGAAACUGAAGGGGCAAUCUCGGUGGAUACAUCAUUAGGCGCCAAACAUGUUACUGAAGGAACUGAGUAGAAGGUCUCUCUCGGACUAAUGGAAAAUGUAUUGGUUGUUAGUGGUGUUCAUGUUUAUGUGUUUGAGAGGGCUCACCCCAGCAUCCGGGGGCCCCCAUGUUAACACAUUUCCAUCUUUCUGUAAUACCUGUGCCAAUCAGGUAGAACUAGGGGCCUGCUGGGUUUGGGCUGAAAUUCCACAGCAUGGUAAAACUAUGGUUCCAAUGUCAGUAAUCCCGCUCAACCAGAGUGAGGAACUCUCAGCCUGGGCUUUCUCAAAUAACAUACGGGGAAGUGAGUUGAGGACCUGUGGUCCAGUCAGAGAUGACUGUGGCUGUCAGUGUUUUGAGGAAUGGUGUCUCAGGCCCCCACCAAACGGAACUUCCAAUACUGGGAAACAUGCAUCCUGGCCAUACUUGCAGGUGUCCAGCAGCAGAGAGGAACAACUGAGACUGAUUGAUUGUGGAUGAUUACUUUUCUCUCCUAUGGAGUAGCCAGGAAUUCAUCAGAGAUAUUCAAUUUGGAUACAGCACUUGAGGAGCUGGCCACGAUACUGCAGGGGCCUUGAGAGAAACACAGGCCCAAGUAACAGAAAUAUCCACUGAAAUGAUUGCAAUCUGGCAAACAGUCCUACAGAAUCAUAUGGCUUUAGAUUUUAUCCUAGCUGAGAAAGGGGGAACCUGUGCUAUUAUCGACACAGAAUGUUGAACCUAUAUCCCUGAUGAAUCUACUACCAUUACAUCCCUCUCCGAGCACACUGUCACGGAGACUGACAGCAUCAAGAAAGUAGGGCAGGAUUUACAUGGGUUCACUGAAGGAUCGAAAUGGUGAUCUGUGAAGGCCUGUUUGGUAAUAUGUGGGGCAUGAUACUGCAUUAUAGCCUAAUAGUUGUACAUAUCUUUGUUGUAAUUACUGUUGUACACUGUCUUUACCCACUGAUAAGCCAAUGCUGUCAUCAGUUGCUUUCUCUAUAAAAAGUUAGUGCUUUGUUGAUAUUGUAAUGAUCAAAAGGAGGGAAUGAUAAAGUCUGUAAAAUGGUUAACACUUUGUUAAACAAUAGCAGCCUGUUUUUCUGAAAGAAACUGCUGAUGAUCAACCGAUGUGCUGAGCCGUGUUUCUUUUUGAGGGUAGCUAGCUGGAGUUUCAAGUUUCCAUGUCCACUCAUGAGAAGAGAUAGGACAGCUUCAGUCUGUUCUGUGUCUGGAAUCCUUUAUGACUGUUUUGUAAUUUGUCAAUAGGGGCGGCUCAUGUAGUAAAUACCUUUGGCUCCAGCCUGUCUUGUGUGGGGGUAUCUGGAUGGAUAUAUCCGUGGUGUAAGGGGAAUUGUUAGUCAGUUAGUGGAUUGGGUGGGGAAAGUCAUUGACUGUUCCUGAAUGAGCGACUAACUGAGUAAGCCCCAGGUACGUGGAAUAAAGAGUUUGUACCGCACGGUCUCUGAGUGACUCUCUCCAGCUUCGACUUACAGGAUGGGAGUGGUUUUAAAGGGCUGGAAACCGGAAGCUCAGUACCAGACCUGGAGUGAUUGUAACUGGGUCUGACAGAGGCAUAACUGGUUGUUCUGGGCACAUUCAGUCUCACUCCAACUAUAACCCACCUUCCCUUUUACAGGUAUGUAAUGUCUAAAGGACCAGUGUUUGAGUAAAUGAG
Molecule: RNA transcript, 5033 nt
Organism: Hypanus sabinus (Atlantic stingray)
Lineage: Eukaryota; Metazoa; Chordata; Chondrichthyes; Myliobatiformes; Dasyatidae
Gene name: zinc finger protein 229-like
Exons: 3
Source: RefSeq, a predicted model, not a curated record